Molecule: ribosomal RNA, 493 nt
Filed under: uncultured bacterium
Lineage: Bacteria
Description: partial 16S ribosomal RNA
Rfam family: Bacterial small subunit ribosomal RNA
Source: RNAcentral
AUUGAACGCUGGCGGCAUGCUUUACACAUGCAAGUCGAACGGUAACAGGUUAAGCUGACGAGUGGCGAACGGGUGAGUAAUGCAUCGGAACGUGCCCGGUCGUGGGGGAUAACGCAGCGAAAGCUGCGCUAAUACCGCAUACGAUCUAAGGAUGAAAGCGGGGGACCGUAAGGCCUCGCGCGAUCGGAGCGGCCGAUGUCAGAUUAGGUAGUUGGGGGGGUAAAGGCUCACCAAGCCAACGAUCUGUAGCUGGUCUGAGAGGACGACCAGCCACACUGGGACUGAGACACGGCCCAGACUCCUACGGGAGGCAGCAGUGGGGAAUUUUGGACAAUGGGCGAAAGCCUGAUCCAGCAAUGCCGCGUGCAGGAAGAAGGCCUUCGGGUUGUAAACUGCUUUUGUACGGAGCGAAAAGGUCUCCUCUAAUACAGGGGGCUCAUGACGGUACCGUAAGAAUAAGCGCCGGCUAACUACGUGCCAGCCGCCGCGGUAA